This 305-nucleotide ribosomal RNA is filed under the name uncultured bacterium. RNAcentral describes it as "bacterial SSU rRNA". It matches the Rfam family "Bacterial small subunit ribosomal RNA", at positions 333 to 633 of the family's 1533-position model. The record is from RNAcentral.
AGGAUCCUACGGGACGCAGCAGUGAGGAAUAUUGGUCAAUGGACGCAAGUCUGAACCAGCCAAGUAGCGUGCGGGAUGACGGCCCUCCGGGUUGUAAGCUGCUUUUAGUUGGGAAUAAAAGGGGGCUCGUGAGCCCCGUAUUGUAUGUACCAUCAGAAAAAGGACCGGCUAAUUCCGUGCCAGCAGCCGCGGUAAUACGGAAGGUCCGGGCGUUAUCCGGAUUUAUUGGGUUUAAAGGGAGCGUAGGCCGGCUUUUAAGUCAGCUGUGAAAGUCCGCGGCUCAACAGUGGAAUUGCAGUUGAAAC